Python bivittatus (Burmese python) is the source of this 420-nucleotide long non-coding RNA. RefSeq lists it as uncharacterized. Lineage: Eukaryota; Metazoa; Chordata; Lepidosauria; Squamata; Pythonidae. The record is from RefSeq and is a predicted model, not a curated record.
GGCUGUCUGAUGAACAUGAGACUCCCGGCAGGGAGACAGAUGGCAUUUUACUGCCUGACUGCAAGUCAUAUUUCUUUUAUUUCCGGGACGGUUGUGAACGUUCAGGUGACCAAGCAACAUUAUGACUUGAGAAAGAAGCAGAUGUCGCCUUGAAUGUGGAAGUCCACUUUCUCUUCCGAUACACCUGGGCAGGACUUGCUUGGUGACUCUACCUUGCCUGGUGCCUUCAGAUGCUUUGUGCUUUAACCCCUGGAAACCCCAACCACCAUGGUGGCUAGAAAUUAUGUCUGUCACAGUUUCAACACUCCUGGAGAACAUCAGGCGCAAAACAAACCCAGACGGAGAACUUGACUGGGCCUAAUAUGGAGCCUGUCUCAGCUGCUUCAGCCAAGAGGCGGAAGUGUGGCUGGGAACAAAGGA